CGCGUGCAGCUCGCGGCGGGACGGGCGGCGUGUGGGGCUCGGCGGCGACGGAACGGCAACGGCCGUGCAGACCGGCAGCCCAGUUAGAAGUUCUGCAUGUGGGAGAGAGGUGCCCCAGUCUGAAGAUGCUCAACGAUGCUUCUGUACACGAGGCACUACUGAAAGAUGAAGUGGCUCUUUUAACAGUAAGGCAUAUAUAAUGGCACCCCAGUUUAAAGCCACUUGGUUCAGAGAGUGCAACUGUGAGAGCUGAACCCUCCCAAGCAGAGCAGUGUGGAGCAGAGGAAGCACUACAAACUCUGGAAGGCAGAUGCAGUGUGAACGUUUUUCACACAGAGCAGAUUCUGAAGUACGUGUAGUGGAAAUGCUAAGUCAUGGCUUGAAGCAGUGAUUGAGCACCUGGUGGGAAGGCAGGGCCAACCCAGGGGAGCUCAGGUGCAUGCAGUGUACCUGAGUGACCAGAAGGGGUGGAGCCAGGAUCCACCCCUUCCCAGACCUCAUUUAAGGGUUAGCAGUGGAGGCAAGGAUAUCUUGUUGGCCAUUCCUGCCUACUGGAAGCCUUCCAAAGGACCCAGAAUAACUGUGCAUGCUUCCAAAAUGUUACCACAGCUGAGGUUCAUCCUUGAACUCUGGUGGUCUGGAACAACUGCCUUACCAGUUCUCUCUGACAGAUGUAGUCUGACUCAAUCACAAGCAAACUGUGCAACAGACAGAACAGUAUAUUUAACCCCAGAGUGUUCAUCAGAUGAAACAGGCCAUGGAAACAAUGACAUUUAAGUGCUACUUGUAAUCUUCAUCAUUGGCCACCUCAAGCUAUUUGCAUCUCCCUUCUGGCAGCUGACUGAGUGUAACUUUCCUGGGAAGAGCUGUGUACUAUUCAAGCCACAUCUAAAACUCAAGCUUCCAUCACCGAGGGAAAGAACUCUGAGCUGGUUUUACAACAGCAGAACAUUGUCUGGCUGAAGCAUUAUGACAGAAAGGGAUAGUAAUACAGCUGUUAAAAGUUUGCUCUCUUCUGUACUCAAGGAAUCCAUCAAAGAACUCUUCUAGAAGAAGAGCCCAUAUGCGGAGUAAGACAGCAUGAUGUAUGAAUCCCAUCGCUGAAAUCAACUCUUGGAUUCAACAGUGCCAUUUGAACGGACAAAACCAUUAUUUUCUUUAGCCAUUCAAGCAAGGGAAACAUACUAACUCAAUUGCCAGCAUAGCUACCAGAAGGAAAUUGUGUAUGCUUUUUAGUAUUCAAGACCUUGCUCUAUUGCCUUACUCAUAUGAAAUUCAGCAUCUCUUUUGAAAACAGCAAAACAAUGACUUUGUCUCCAUUUUAAUUUGGAAGGAGUCCAAAUUAAGCUAUUAUGAGAGAUAAAUGAUAUAAUGAGAGUUGCAUGCAAUUUACUGAAAAAAAAAAUGAACAAGCAAAAUGACCUCUCAAAUGUUUGCAUUUUUCUUUUUUGAACUUACUGAAAUUUUUAUGUUCUAGGUAGUGAAGUCAAGUUUCAUAUUCAGCUUUCCUGUUAAUGUUAACAUGUACAUGACAGGUUCCAACUAAGCAGAAAAAUAGGACAUUAGGAUGCCAACCUAGCGUUCCGUUAUUAUCAAGAAUAAAUGAACUCAACUUAAACAGAGUUUCUAUAUUAACUAUUUCCAGAAUACACUCCUAUGCAGAACACUGUCUCGUAGGAAUUUGACUGGCAAAUAUCAGAUAUUCUGGCACUGAAAAGAAAAUCUGAGAACCUUUGUUACUGAAGCUGUAGUGGUGAACAAAAAUAGACUGCAAGCACUGGUGGAAACAUGGGCUACAGGGCCCUGUGAUCACAAACCUUCUGAGCAGGAAAGUCUGCCCGCUUAUAGAAAAGGUCAUCUUCAGUUUUGCAGCUCCAGGCUUUUAAUCUUAAGUAAGCCAAUCAGAUCUGAAUUAAGUGAUGAACGUAUUAUGUUAAUGAGCAUAAUUAUGCUAAUGAACAUUCCUUCAAGGAAUCUUCAUUCUUGAUUCAUUAGUUAGAUGUUACCAUCUGAAACCAAUGGAAAAUGUUUUGAAAAACUCAAUUAACCCCUCUGGGGUAAUCUUAAGACCUUAACAGACUGUCUUCCAGUGCUACCUCUGUUAUUUAUUCCCAGAUUUGUCUGUAGUCAUCAUUUCACUCAGAGUCCUCUGCCUUUUUAAACUUAUUUUUCUUCUGACAGUUACUUCAACCCUGCCGGAAAAACAAAACAAAACAAAAAUCUAUAAUCAUGUUUUAUUACUGCACUGCAGGCUCUGCAAUCCAGAUCCCAACAGUAUCACCUUCUGAACAAGCAUGGGAAAAUGCUAAAACAGCAGAAAAGUUGUCAGAGCCUGCCUGCACUAUUGACUAACCAGAGACUAGCUUGGGACAGGCACUAUCCAGCCAGCAAAUAGGCAGCUUUCUGCAGUACACUGUGUACUUCUUAGGGAUGGCACUUACUGUUUGGUGCCAGUGUGCUCCCGUGUUACAUUCCUGGUCCCACACAAUUACAUGUGUAUCUAAGGUUGCACUUACACUCCCACCUGUUAAGGUAACACACAGGAAGUAUCAUGGUAAGCUAUUAACAGCACAUGUUUUUACAGGACAGUAGCCUAUUUGUUCAGAUGAAUUCAAGUCACUUAAAAGUUAUUCCAUCCAUGGCUGGUAUUAAUAGCAUCCACACGUGUAACAUUUAUAUCAGUGGACAUAAAUCAGCAUCAGUCUAUUAAAUUCAAAACCACAUCAUUUCGGCUCAGCAGCUGACACUACAGGCUUACAAAAGAAACACUUAACAUAUACUUUUCCAUGAUGAAACGUGAGAAUAUGUCUAUUGAUGGUUACGUGUUCUCUACAAGAAGCCUCUCUGAGCCUUAAGGUUUACUUUCCAUAAUCAGCAGCACCUCCCCAGUGGGUUUUUAAUAUGUUUUAUCAGCUUAGAGUUCCUGAACAUCACACUUGCAUGUGGAAAGGCCAGAGAAUUGCCAGCUCUCGAUCAGCUGCAGUGAAAGCACAGCUUUGUAGUCCCAAAGCCCUGACUAUACCUGGGAGUGCAUACAUGGUAUCUGAUUGAAGUUACAGGUGUUAUAAUUCUCCUCUUGCCAGUGGGUCAUUAUUUCACUCCAUCAAAAGAGAAAAAUAAAACAUGUGAAGAACUCUGCAGUGACCUGCUUAGUCCCACAGAGGUCACAGUAGAGACUGAUUUAUGAUGACUGACAACUGCCUAUGAUUAUGAAAAUUGCUAGCCAGGACAGCAUAUAUUACUGAUGCCUGCUGAAUAGGGCACAGAGAAAUCAUUUUCCCUUUUAGUAUUCCUAAAGGUUUACUGUUCUUAGCUUUAUUCAAAGAAACUUAAGACCCGAGGAAAACAAUGCUGUGUAUAUAAACAGGGCAAACAUUAUGCUGUUAUUUAAAAAUGUCAGCCUGAUACUUGAUGUAAGGUUCUGACUUAAUAUGUAAGGCAAAACAAAUGAGUUUGAAAAUCUCUGUUUAGUGGUUUAGAAAAUGGGAUCUGAGAUUGCUUUAAAGAAGGUCAUAAAGACCUCUCAACCUCUCCUUUUAUUUAUGUUUUCUCAAAUAUAUUGACUGGCUUGAUGGUGCACCACAGACAAAUAUCUACAUGCUUCACAUAAUGAAACAGUGUCAUUACCUUAUCUGGACAAACUCCCAGUGUAAUUGCAACCAAAGUAAAACAGCUCUGAGACUGCAAAGAAGUGUCAAAACAGGAAAUACAAUAGCAUAGACCUGAGAUGUUUUCCAUUUGCAGACUUUCAUAUAGGUGUCUUUUUUCAUACUUUUAGCCCUAUAUUGGAAAGCAUAAUUUGAUGAUAGACGUGAAACUGUGUAUUAGUUUUUAUUUUGACAAAUUCAUUAGACAUCACAUAGCUUGAAAAAUGAACCAGGAGGCACUAAGUCAGCCUGAGAAGAUUGUACUUCAUAAACUGAAUUGCUCACAUGGGCAACAUUUUGGUGGAAGUUAUAGAUUUUCUAGCAUAUCCCUGAUAGAUAGCACUAAUAUAACUUCAAUAAAAACUCUGGAUAUGUCAAUAUAAAAUUUUUUCAAGCAUCGAAAGAUGUAAGAUACUUCAGCUAAUAAAUUGGAAGAUUCCCUGUUCCUCAAGGUACACUAACUUACACAUCAGAUUAUAAAGAGUAUUGAAGCCACACAGAGUACAGCAGGCAGCUGUAGGUUUGCUGCUUUUAGAAGUUGCACUAAAUUGAAUUAUCAAUAUAUGAAAGUAAUAAUUGGAAAUUAAGAUCUAGAUGACCCUUUUUGUAAAAAUGUUAGCAUUCUUCAAUUUUUAACUGUUAGAUGAUAGACAAUUUUUCAUAGCUGACAUGACUGAUAGACUGUAUUUGAUGCAAAUAAUUGAUGUUCCUUCUCUCUCUUCCUAACACAUGACCUUUCACUUACUUCCUUAUAUUGUUACCACUUCCAGAUUGAUAUGGUAUUGGAAAUGCAAAUGGUUAUCCUUCUUCUGAAAAAAACCUUACAGAACCUGAUGUAAGACUUCAUUGGUUACAACUGUAUGGGACAGGAUUGUGUAGCAUUCCCAACCUGUUAAAAGGAAGCAAUUAUGGUAGAGGACCAGACUACAUGGAUGACCUGAACCUUGCUCACAACAGAUGAGAAAAAAUGACAUUUUUCUCCUUUCUGAAAGACUUUUAUAGCUUGUGAAAAGGAAACUUCAAGGAAGGUGGGGAGAUUGAAGGCUGGACUGUGCUUGCACCCAUCAAGGAUAAACACAAAUAAAACUUCUGGAAGUUACCAGGCCAGUUAUCUAUUUGGAGACUUGGUUAACUUUGAGCACUAUAUACAAAACAUAUGCUACCAAUCAUGCAAGUCACAGACCUCUGAUGAGGUGAAACCACAAUUUUUCAUACGAGAAACUAUAAGCUCAUUAAGAAAUGAUAAUCAUUCUGUUCCUCUCACAUAACAUGGAGAACUGUACAAGAUGGAAGAAUAUUAAGAGCUAUCACAGAGUACUAUACUCUAAUGAGGAAAGCUCAUGCUUCAAUUUCCUGAGUUUGACCUCUGAAAAGGCACUGAGCCUCUAGGAAUCAAGGUGUUUUUUUUUCUUUCCUUCUGUGUAUUGAGUUCUUCAUUUGUUCAAUGGGGCUAAUAUAACCUCUGUACCUUCUGAGAAUAGAAACGUUAAAGACUGACUCAGUUUUAUGGUAAUGGAAACCAUUUUGUAAGCAAGACCAAAAGAAUCUCCUCUGAAGACCAGUUACAGCCAGAAUGAGAUAGGUCUCUUUCAAAUAUAGCAAAAACUUUCCAAAACAGAGCAUAUAAUAAAUGCACUAGUUUCCUUUUUCUCUCAUUUUAAUCUGCAACAAUGAAAAAUAUUCACUGUGUUUCUUUUCACUACCAUUUCCUUUUUUUCCUUUGUUUUUCUUUAUUCCUUCCCACUCUCAUUCCAUUCCCUACUUUUAUAAUUCCUUUGCUAAUAAACAAAUAGUCCACUCAUCUAAUUCCUUGACUUCAGUGUGCUACAAACCAGCAUAAGGGCUGCAGAAUUUGAUGAAUGCAAGACAGAAUGGAAGCAGAAGAGAAAGUACGAUACGAGGAGGCGAACAGCUCUGGAGUACUGAGCUCAGCAGGCUAAAUACUACCGCCCUGAUAAGCAAUCUCCAAAGGUACGCGUGUACAAUGCCGACAACAGUCUGAAACUCUAUUGCUAUAUUUACAUUAAGGCACAGUAGAAGAUGGGGUGACAAAAGCAGCUGCUACUGAGGACUUGACAUUCAAAGCACACAUGUUUCGGAAGGUUUAUCCUGGACUAUCUUUAGGCAGGUUCUGUGGAUGAGCAUUCAUUGCGUUUCAAAAAGGUCUGCGGCUUGAGGUUAAACAAAAUGGAAUCAAGCUCACGUGCUCUGGAAUUACACAUGGUGUGAAUCCAAGCAGAACAAUUAAAAACAUCCAGGAAAUGAGCUUUAAAGUCACCUUCUUUUCUCCAAAUCUAAAUACUGAUAACAGAACUUGCACUAGUGACGUUGUUGCAAGCAGACUGCAUGUUUAGAACAAAGACUUUCCACAACGCUGCCUUGUUUCUGCAUGUUCUAAAGCCAGUCCAACUCACAGUCCAAGACUGUGCAACACUUUUCACAAUGCACAUGAAGGAGACAUCUGUACAGUUAAGUAGAUCUUUGUUGAAGACUGAUUUGAAAAUAGAUCUUCACAACAAUCUAAAACCUUGACAGACAACAUGGAAGUCAAAGACGGGGCUGAAUCAAACUUUC
This is a long non-coding RNA of Gallus gallus (chicken), 6221 nucleotides long. Lineage: Eukaryota; Metazoa; Chordata; Aves; Galliformes; Phasianidae. The record is from Ensembl.